UAUUGCUAAUUUUCUAUUAUUAAUCACUUAGUAGUAUGAAAAUUUGGACUUGUUUCCUCAUUUAUAAAGUUUAUACUUUAAAAAUAUUUGUCAUUUUCCUUUUCUGAAAAAUGUUCUAUGUUUUUAGGUACGGCCGAAUAGAAAUUCUGUCUGGAUUUAUUAAUGGACUUUUUCUAAUAGUAAUAGCGUUUUUUGUGUUUAUGGAGUCAGUGGCUAGAUUGAUUGAUCCUCCAGAAUUAGACACUCACAUGUUAACACCAGUCUCAGUUGGAGGGCUGAUAGUAAACCUUAUUGGUAUCUGUGCCUUUAGCCAUGCCCAUAGCCAUGCCCAUGGAGCUUCUCAAGGAAGCUGUCACUCAUCUGAUCACAGCCAUUCACAUCAUAUGCAUGGACACAGUGACCAUGGGCAUGGUCACAGCCACGGAUCUGCGGGUGGAGGCAUGAAUGCUAACAUGAGGG
Molecule: small RNA, 459 nt
Filed under: Pongo abelii (Sumatran orangutan)
Lineage: Eukaryota; Metazoa; Chordata; Mammalia; Primates; Hominidae
Description: retained intron
Source: RNAcentral